RNAcentral lists this ribosomal RNA (465 nucleotides) under uncultured Klebsiella sp. RNAcentral describes it as "bacterial SSU rRNA". It matches the Rfam family "Bacterial small subunit ribosomal RNA", at positions 338 to 795 of the family's 1533-position model. Lineage: Bacteria; Pseudomonadati; Pseudomonadota; Gammaproteobacteria; Enterobacterales; Enterobacteriaceae. The record is from RNAcentral.
CCUACGGGCGGCAGCAGUGGGGAAUAUUGCACAAUGGGCGCAAGCCUGAUGCAGCCAUGCCGCGUGUGUGAAGAAGGCCUUCGGGUUGUAAAGCACUUUCAGCGGGGAGGAAGGCGUUAAGGUUAAUAACCUUGGCGAUUGACGUUACCCGCAGAAGAAGCACCGGCUAACUCCGUGCCAGCAGCCGCGGUAAUACGGAGGGUGCAAGCGUUAAUCGGAAUUACUGGGCGUAAAGCGCACGCAGGCGGUCUGUCAAGUCGGAUGUGAAAUCCCCGGGCUCAACCUGGGAACUGCAUUCGAAACUGGCAGGCUAGAGUCUUGUAGAGGGGGGUAGAAUUCCAGGUGUAGCGGUGAAAUGCGUAGAGAUCUGGAGGAAUACUGGUGGCGAAGGCGGCCCCCUGGACAAAGACUGACGCUCAGGUGCGAAAGCGUGGGGAGCAAACAGGAUUAGAUACCCGAGUAGUC